ACCUUCUUGUCGAAUGCUUUUUCACUCUCUGCUGAUAUGACUGACCAUGAUACAUGGCAGUUGAUCUCUUCUUCUUGAUCGAAUUCAGCAUCAGUCAACUUGGGACUUUGAGGGUGCUAUCUUUCUUUUGUUUUUUUUUCUUUUGAUUUUGCUUUUGAUUUGGUUUUGAUUUUGCACCCUCUCUUUUCUUUUUUUUUUUACUUUCUUUUUUUUGAUGCCCCAGUUGGCCGUUCUGCUGAUUCUCGAGAUACAACUGAGUGUGAUCUUCUUUUCUUGCUCAAGAAGUCGGGAAAUCUCGUCAGGAAUCCCUUCAAUCAUCAUCUUCUUCCGCUUCGAAUACAAGGAAUUCAAAAUUGGGAGAUGACGUCCGAUCACUAUGUUCAAUGGGUUUG
This 392-nucleotide long non-coding RNA is filed under the name Lathyrus oleraceus (garden pea). RNAcentral's name for it is "Pisum sativum (pea) long non-coding RNA (PSAT_LNC009257)". Lineage: Eukaryota; Viridiplantae; Streptophyta; Magnoliopsida; Fabales; Fabaceae. The record is from RNAcentral.